RNAcentral lists this ribosomal RNA (253 nucleotides) under uncultured bacterium. RNAcentral's name for it is "partial 16S ribosomal RNA". It matches the Rfam family "Bacterial small subunit ribosomal RNA", at positions 524 to 776 of the family's 1533-position model. The record is from RNAcentral.
UCCGGAGGAGGCAAUCGUUAUCUGGAAUUAUUGGGCGUAAAGCGUCCGUAGGUGGUUGACCAAGUCUGCUGUCAAAGGGUGGGGCUUAACCUCAUAAAGGCAGUGGAAACUGGUGAGCUAGAGUGCGGUAGGGGUAAGGGGAAUUCCCAGUGUAGCGGUGAAAUGCGUAGAGAUUGGGAAGAACAUCGGUGGCGAAAGCGCCUUGCUGGGCCUGCACUGACACUGAGGGACGAAAGCUAGGGGAGCGAAAGGG